UGGGGAAUAUUGCACAAUGGGCGCAAGCCUGAUGCAGCCAUGCCGCGUGUGUGAAGAAGGCCUUCGGGUUGUAAAGCACUUUCAGUCGUGAGGAAGGUAGUGUAGUUAAUAGCUGCAUUAUUUGACGUUAGCGACAGAAGAAGCACCGGCUAACUCCGUGCCAGCAGCCGCGGUAAUACGGAGGGUGCGAGCGUUAAUCGGAAUUACUGGGCGUAAAGCGCAUGCAGGUGGUUUGUUAAGUCAGAUGUGAAAGCCCGGGGCUCAACCUCGGAAUAGCAUUUGAAACUGGCAGACUAGAGUACUGUAGAGGGGGGUAGAAUUUCAGGUGUAGCGGUGAAAUGCGUAGAGAU
Molecule: ribosomal RNA, 350 nt
Filed under: uncultured bacterium
Lineage: Bacteria
Description: bacterial SSU rRNA
Rfam family: Bacterial small subunit ribosomal RNA
Source: RNAcentral